Molecule: long non-coding RNA, 260 nt
Filed under: Capsicum annuum
Lineage: Eukaryota; Viridiplantae; Streptophyta; Magnoliopsida; Solanales; Solanaceae
Description: long non-coding RNA (CANN_LNC017198)
Source: RNAcentral
GCAUCUAUAAAAACCGAAGCAAAACUAAAAAUAUAUUUCCAAAUCAAUAAAUAUAUCAUGCAAUCCCAUAAAAACAUAUGAAAUACAUAUGUAUUAUUCAAAAAUACAUAUGCAUUACUCAUAAAUACAUAUGCACAACUGGAAAAAUACAUAUUCUUUCUUUUCGUUUGGCUUCCUCUUUUUCACAUAUUUUUGCACUUUUUGGAGAUUUUGAAGAUGAAUGUUUUCUCAAUGUUUUCCGUUUCGCGAUUUCCCCAAUA